UACGUAGGGUGCAAGCGUUAAUCGGAAUUACUGGGCGUAAAGCGUGCGCAGGCGGUUGUGCAAGACCGAUGUGAAAUCCCCGGGCUUAACCUGGGAAUGGCAUUGGUGACUGCACGGCUAGAGUGUGUCAGAGGGGGGUAGAAUUCCACGUGUAGCAGUGAAAUGCGUAGAGAUGUGGAGGAACACCGAUGGCGAAGGCAGGUCUCUGGGCCGAUACUGACGCUGAGGAGCGAAAGCGUGGGGAGCGAACAGG
RNAcentral lists this ribosomal RNA (253 nucleotides) under uncultured bacterium. Its description in RNAcentral is "partial 16S ribosomal RNA". It matches the Rfam family "Bacterial small subunit ribosomal RNA", at positions 524 to 776 of the family's 1533-position model. The record is from RNAcentral.